GCUCUAUAAAGACCUGCCGUCAUUCGCUCACAUCUUCCAACCAAUCAGAACGCUGCUUCUCCAGCAUCUUCCUGUCGAGGGUUACCCCGCCCCUAUCCAGGAUCUUCACAGCGAGAUCUUAGACGCCAUUCCUGAGCAGCCUUCCCAGCAUGCACCUCUGGUGUUC
This is a long non-coding RNA of Sinocyclocheilus anshuiensis, 166 nucleotides long. RefSeq lists it as uncharacterized. NCBI's taxonomy places the organism in Eukaryota, Metazoa, Chordata, Actinopteri, Cypriniformes, Cyprinidae. The transcript is spliced from 2 exons. The record is from RefSeq and is a predicted model, not a curated record.